RNAcentral lists this ribosomal RNA (247 nucleotides) under uncultured bacterium. Its description in RNAcentral is "partial 16S ribosomal RNA". It matches the Rfam family "Bacterial small subunit ribosomal RNA", at positions 523 to 769 of the family's 1533-position model. The record is from RNAcentral.
AUACGGAAGGUCCGGGCGUUAUCCGGAUUUAUUGGGUUUAAAGGGAGCGUAGGCCGGAGAUUAAGCGUGUUGUGAAAUGUAGUGGCUCAACCUCUGCACUGCAGCGCGAACUGGUCUUCUUGAGUACGCACAACGUGGGCGGAAUUCGUGGUGUAGCGGUGAAAUGCUUAGAUAUCACGAAGAACUCCGAUUGCGAAGGCAGCUCACGGGAGCGCAACUGACGCUGAAGCUCGAAAGUGCGGGUAUC